Long non-coding RNA from Papaver somniferum (opium poppy), 1132 nucleotides. RefSeq lists it as uncharacterized. Lineage: Eukaryota; Viridiplantae; Streptophyta; Magnoliopsida; Ranunculales; Papaveraceae. The transcript has 7 exons. The record is from RefSeq and is a predicted model, not a curated record.
CCUAAACGAUUUAGUCCAAAAUCAUCUUUUAUUAUGACAAAAAUACCCAUCAGAUACCUCGGGGAUAUCGAGCUUCUUCGGUUUCUAUUUUUUCAUUUUCAUUUAAUGGAAACACCUUUGCGAGCGAAGAAAAAAUCAAAAAAUUAAGUCUCUUAGUGAAAUUACUGUAUUGUGUAUAUGAGACUAUGUUGGGAGCCACGUAAAGGUGAGAGCCACUUAGAUGCUAUGCUGAGAUGAGAGAUUUUGACAACUCUCUCCAUUUUUGGACAUGAUCUGCCGCCAAAAAAAAAGUUCGACGUUUUCAUGCAUUUUCAGACAAUAGAGACACAUUUCUACUCAAGAAAGGUGUUCGUAGUAGAUCCAAAGCAACAUCUUUCUGGCUUAGAUUUUGAUCCUUCCAAGCAUGUUCCUAAGUUUAGAGGUUGAAGGUCGUAAGGAUCGUAUCUAAGAGACGCAUAGAAGCGGAAGAAAAUUUCAACAAUAGACUCGCUCCUACUUUUAACUUUUGUUCCAUAUCUAUAACACUUUUUUAUGGAUAUCUUUUGAGGUAACAAUACCGACAGUAGAAAAACGAGUUGCAUCUCACAAUAGUAAAGUUGGCAAGAUCGCGGAGCCACAUGAUUACCAUCAUGAGAUUGCAAUGCUACAUGAAAAGUUUGACCAUUCUCGAUCAUCAAACCAUUCUAUCGAGUUACUGAGGUCACUUUUAUUGAAAUACAAUUAACCUGCAGCUGAAACGAAACAAGUUAGGCACGAGGGGGGACAAAACUCUAUCCUCAACAUUUGUUAUCUUCUGAAUCAGUUUGGGGAGAGAUUCCAAUACAGGUAGAAGAAGGAAACUGCAUGCCACACCCCUAGUAUAUGUAAGCUAACUUUACAGGUUAAGUGCUAAACUAUCCUAUGCAAAUAUGGUCGUUAUUCAGCUAGAGCUUGGUGCGGUCGAUAUUUUUGUCAGGCUGUGCAGAUUAGAGUGGCAGUAAGGCAAUCAUGAAUGUUGGAUUUUUUGUACUUUUGCUGAUGUGUACAUAGUUUUACACUAGCGUGAAUUAAAAAAAAAUUAAGUGAAAAUUAUAUAGUCAUAUGGGUACUCUUUUUUUAGCUCUCGAAAAGAGCUUUCCGAAUACCUAAAAUU